GUUAUGUCCCUAGGGAUAACAGUGCAAUCCCACUCUAGAGUUCAUAUCGACGAUAAGGUUUGCAACCUCGAUGUUGGAUCAGGACACCCUAAUGGUGUAGCCUCUAUUAAUGGUCCAUUUGUUCAAUGAUUAAAGUCUUAUGUGAUCUGAGUUCAGACUGGAGUAAUCCAGGUUGGUUUCUA
Molecule: non-coding RNA, 182 nt
Filed under: Ornithorhynchus anatinus (platypus)
Lineage: Eukaryota; Metazoa; Chordata; Mammalia; Monotremata; Ornithorhynchidae
Description: Bacterial large subunit ribosomal RNA
Rfam family: Bacterial large subunit ribosomal RNA
Source: Rfam by way of RNAcentral